RNAcentral lists this ribosomal RNA (402 nucleotides) under uncultured bacterium. RNAcentral's name for it is "bacterial SSU rRNA". It matches the Rfam family "Bacterial small subunit ribosomal RNA", at positions 355 to 774 of the family's 1533-position model. The record is from RNAcentral.
UGGGGAAUCUUGCACAAUGGGGGCAACCCUGAUGCAGCGACGCCGCGUGAGCGAUGAAGCCCUUCGGGGCGUAAAGCUCUUUCGACCGGAACGAUAAUGACGGUACCGGGAGAAGAAGCUGCGGCUAACUACGUGCCAGCAGCCGCGGUAAUACGUAGGCAGCAAGCGUUGUUCGGAGUUACUGGGCGUAAAGAGUGCGUAGGCGGUUUUCUAAGUUCGGUGUGAAAUCUCCCGGCUUAACUGGGAGGGUGCGCCGAAGACUGGGAAGCUGGAGUGUGGGGAAGGCAGGCGGAAUUCCAGGUGUAGCGGUGAAAUGCGUAGAUAUCAGGAGGAACACCGGCGGUGUAGACGGCUUGCUAGACCAUAACUGACGCUGAGGCACGAAAGCGUGGGUAGCAAACA